AAAUUAAAAAUAUUAUAUAGAUUUUGAUGUGAGUGAUUUAAGGUUAU
Molecule: non-coding RNA, 47 nt
Filed under: Trypanosoma brucei brucei
Lineage: Eukaryota; Euglenozoa; Kinetoplastea; Trypanosomatida; Trypanosomatidae
Source: RNAcentral